This 76-nucleotide transfer RNA is filed under the name Alphaproteobacteria bacterium. RNAcentral's name for it is "tRNA-Glu". It matches the Rfam family "tRNA". Rfam says of the family: Transfer RNA (tRNA) molecules are approximately 80 nucleotides in length. Their secondary structure includes four short double-helical elements and three loops (D, anti-codon, and T loops). Lineage: Bacteria; Pseudomonadati; Pseudomonadota; Alphaproteobacteria. The record is from RNAcentral. RNAcentral also lists the same sequence under 2 other names.
GUCCCCUUCGUCUAGCGGCCUAGGACAUCGCCCUCUCACGGCGAAAACACGGGUUCGAGUCCCGUAGGGGACGCCA